Molecule: ribosomal RNA, 546 nt
Filed under: Blepiarda undulata
Lineage: Eukaryota; Metazoa; Arthropoda; Insecta; Coleoptera; Curculionidae
Description: partial 16S ribosomal RNA
Rfam family: Bacterial large subunit ribosomal RNA (bases 396-546)
Source: RNAcentral
GUUAUUAAAAACAUGUCCUAUUGAUAAUAAUUUUAGGUCUGGCCUGCUCGAUGAUGAUUUAAAUGGCCGCGGUAUUUUGACCGUGCAAAGGUAGCAUAAUCAAUAGUUUUUUAAUUGAAAGCUUGUAUGAAAGGUUUGAUGAAAAAAUAACUGUCUCUAUUUAAAUUUAUUAAAAUUUUAUUUUUAAGUUAAAAAGCUUAGAUGUAUAUUGAAGACGAGAAGACCCUAUAGAGUUUUAUAUUUUAAAAGUAAAAUUUAAUUUUGGUAUUUAUAGGUUUGAUUUUUAAUUUAUUUAGUUGGGGUGAUUAAAAAAUUAAAUAAACUUUUUUUUUAUAAAUUCAUUUAUUUAUGAAUAAUUGAUCCUUAAAAAGAUUAAAAGAUAAAAUUACCUUAGGGAUAACAGCGUAAUUUUUUUUUAGAGUUCAAAUUGAAAAAAAAGAUUGCGACCUCGAUGUUGGAUUAAAAAAAAUUAUUGGUGUAGUAGCUAAUAAAUUAGGUCUGUUCGACCUUUAAAAUUUUACAUGAUCUGAKUUUAAACCGGCGUAA